Camellia sinensis is the source of this 894-nucleotide non-coding RNA. The record is from RefSeq and is a predicted model, not a curated record. NCBI's taxonomy places the organism in Eukaryota, Viridiplantae, Streptophyta, Magnoliopsida, Ericales, Theaceae.
CUUUCUUUUGAUUCCCAAAUAAUAGGAAAGAAAAAUCACCAGAAAAAACUCAGGAUUUCAUUAAACUCUUUAAUAAAAUAAAUCUUAAAAUUUAAUUUUUGCAACUGAAUGCAUUACAACUAAAUACCUCUAUUCAUGUUUGUCACAACCGCUAAUAAAUGCCUAUUGUCAUAAACCACUAAUAAUGUCUAGUACAUGUUUGGUAGUUUUUUGGACAAUUUCCUUAUUUACUAAAACCUUUUUGAGUCCGGAUCUUCCUCUCCAGCUAUUCUUCCUGUCAAGGGUCAGGAUUUAGCCACGUCACCAAAGCUAAAGUCUACGGCUCAGAUCAAUGCUGGCUCUGGUGAACGAUGAUCAGCGGCAAAUCGAAGUCGGCGAUAAACAUCAACGGUCUGUCCCUCUCUCCUUCUGUCUUACUCCGAAGAUUUCUGAAUUUGGUAAGAGUUGAAGGUUGAAAAUGGGAAAGGAGUUUGCAGUUUUUUUUGUUUGUUUGUUUUUCUUAGUGAAUUUCUUGUGAUGAGAAUCUCAGUUUUUGUAUUGCAACUGCCAUUUUCAUUGUUUAAUAGGCAGCAAAAAAACUUUAAAAAAAAAAAAAAAAAAAAAACGUAGAGAAGAGAGUGAAACCAGGCAAACCAAGAAUCAUGAAAUUUGUUUGUUUAGUGUAAUGUUGGUACGUGUUCAACCACAAUUGCACAAUUCGCAAGGUUUCUCCGAUUACGGUAACUCUUAUAGACUUUCUGGACCUUAACCGCUGCAGCAUCAAGCUCACUAACAGGUCUUGGUGAAAACAAUAUUGCUGGCUCAGGAAGCGAAAUUGAGGGCACUGAUUUAUUAAAUUCAAAUUCCUUACGUCUUGAACUAAAUUCUUGAAUGAAAGUGUUGUUUUGAGCAUUA